Molecule: unclassified non-coding RNA, 385 nt
Filed under: uncultured fungus
Lineage: Eukaryota; Fungi
Description: partial contains 5.8S ribosomal RNA and internal transcribed spacer 2
Rfam family: 5.8S ribosomal RNA (bases 1-133)
Source: RNAcentral
UGGCUCUCGCAUCGAUGAAGAACGCAGCGAAAUGCGAUAAGUAAUGUGAAUUGCAGAAUUCAGUGAAUCAUCGAAUCUUUGAACGCACCUUGCGCUCCUUGGUAUUCUGAGGAGCAUGCCUGUUUGAGUGUCGUGAAAAUUCUCAACCUUUCAAGCUUUGAACUAAGCUUAGUUAGGCAUGGAUUUGGGAGCUUGCUGGUUAUAAUAAAUCAGCUCUCCUUAAAUGCAUUAGCAAGAUUGAUCAUUGACUUAUCUUUGAUAUGAUAAUUAUCUGUAUCAUCGAAUAAAUGCAAUGUUUUCCUUUAUGGAAAAGUCUAGCUUUCUAAUAGUCUUUCAAGACAAUAAAUGAUCAUUUGACCUCAAAUCAGGUAGGACUACCCGCUGA